AGGAGACUCUUAGGCUGAAGGGCAGGCGGCUCUCCAUGAUGUAAUCCGUGCAAUCUGUGCGCUCGCAAGGAGAAGCAGCCUCCCGUUGGCCAAAGCGAAGAGUCCCCGCCUGGGCGCUCCUCCCGCCGCCCCCCCGGGGGCCCAUAAAAGCCCCGAGGCAGAGGCAGGGCAGCUUUCCCAGCCCCUGAGCUUGCAAAGGUGACCCAGGGACAGAUCUCAAAACAAACGCGUCUCAGAGAAGGAUCAAAACCUGUCUCUUUUCUGAGGGAUCCGUACACACAGAGAUCUUUGAAGAACAAAGAAUUUAGGCACAGUUCUCAUGACUUGCUGAUGAAGGUGUAUUUGGCAAGAGCUUUACAUCUGCAGCUUUACAUAACCUGAUAAAGUGCAACACAGGUACGAGCCCAGAGCUGAGAGCAGACAGCAGCACACAGGGGCACUGUGCUGGAUGGGAAACAAAUACCAAUUGGGUGAGGACUACACCUAAAAACCUCAGCCGAGUGCCUGAGUCUCACUGCAAGGCAAACUAUGCUGAAGACAGAAAUCAACUGACACGUUCAGUCUGGAGGAAUCCCCCGGGGUACCAGCAGAAUGCAUUACCAGUGCAUUUCUCCAGUGAGAUAUGAUGGGAAGAGCACAGAGCAAAAAAGAAGAGAGAAGAUGAAGAAACAAUCUCUCGAAGGAUACAGCCUGACAGUAAUACCGCCAUCUGACUAAAAAGAACUCAGACAUACGCAUAAUCCUCAGGAAAAUUCAUCUCCACCCUCCCAGCAGACCCUGGUGAGAGCCCUUGAAGUGGUAAUUAAAGUCUAUUGAGUGGCAACUGCACCUGUUUAGAAAGGAGAGUGUGGGUAAGAGGUGCACAAAGGGAGAUGAGCAGCAGAGAGGGAGUGUGAGCGAGGAGCUGCUGGAGGUGGGGAAGAAGGGAAGCGGAAAGAAGAAAAGGUAUAUUUGUUGGCGAAGCCAAUCCAAUACGAUGUGUAUUUCACAUUCUUCCCUUCAUUUGCUUUCUGCCUGCUCUCCUGCACCCCUUCACGCACACAGCCGGCUUCUACCCCACUCUCACACCCACUGAUGGAAACUCCAGGGGGCUUUCCCCGGCUAGCCCGGGCCCUGGACCAGCAGCUGUUCAUCUGGUGUAAAUCAACAGAGUUCCACUGAAGUCCUGGUGGAGUUACGAUCAGCUAGCGCUCAUUUACGCCAGCUGAAGAUCUGUCCCAGUGACACUCAUUAACAGUCACUGGGCUCCUCAGCCUGGCAGCUGGGACAUGCCAGUUCUUGUCUGCUGGGUUGUCUUUCUCCCUAGAAUAGAGCACAUCCCUUUGUGCGGGCUUUGUUGC
This 1340-nucleotide long non-coding RNA is filed under the name Anas platyrhynchos (mallard). RNAcentral's name for it is "lncRNA (ENSAPLG00020008281.1)". The record is from RNAcentral. Lineage: Eukaryota; Metazoa; Chordata; Aves; Anseriformes; Anatidae.